AGAUUAAGUUAUUAAGGGCGCACGGUGGAUGCCUUGGCACUAGAAGCCAAUGAAGGACGUUACUAACGACGAUAUGCUUUGGGGAGCUGUAAGUAAGCUUUGAUCCAGAGAUUUCCGAAUGGGGAAACCCAGCAUGAGUUAUGUCAUGUUAUCGAUAUGUGAAUACAUAGCAUAUCAGAAGGCACACCCGGAGAACUGAAACAUCUUAGUACCCGGAGGAAGAGAAAGAAAAUUCGAUUCCCUUAGUAGCGGCGAGCGAAACGGGAAGAGCCCAAACCAACAAGCUUGCUUGUUGGGGUUGUAGGACACUCUAUACGGAGUUACAAAGGACGACAUUAGACGA
This 343-nucleotide ribosomal RNA is filed under the name Staphylococcus aureus. RNAcentral describes it as "partial 23S ribosomal RNA". It matches the Rfam family "Bacterial large subunit ribosomal RNA", at positions 1 to 336 of the family's 2925-position model. The record is from RNAcentral. Lineage: Bacteria; Bacillati; Bacillota; Bacilli; Caryophanales; Staphylococcaceae.